Molecule: ribosomal RNA, 450 nt
Filed under: uncultured Glomus
Lineage: Eukaryota; Fungi; Glomeromycota; Glomeromycetes; Glomerales; Glomeraceae
Description: SSU rRNA
Rfam family: Eukaryotic small subunit ribosomal RNA
Source: RNAcentral
AGCAGCCGCGGUAAUUCCAGCUCCAAUAGCGUAUAUUAAAGUUGUUGCAGUUAAAAAGCUCGUAGUUGAAUUUCGGGAUCAAUAUAUCGGUCGUGCCUUGGUACGUACUGGUAUCAUUGGUUUCUCCUUUCUGACGAACCAUGAUGUCAUUAAUUUGGUGUUAUGGGAAGUUAGGACUGUUACUUUGAAAAAUUAGAGUGUUUAAAGCAGGCUCACGCUUGAAUACAUUAGCAUGGAAUAAUGAAAUAGGACGUUUGAUUCUAUUUUGUUGGUUUCUAGGAUCGACGUAAUGAUUAAUAGGGAUAGUUGGGGGCAUUAGUAUUCAAUUGUCAGAGGUGAAAUUCUUGGAUUUAUUGAAGACUAACUACUGCGAAAGCAUUUGCCAAGGAUGUUUUCAUUAAUCAAGAACGAAAGUUAGGGGAUCGAAGACGAUCAGAUACCGUCGUAGUC